AGUAAAAUAAAAUGAAGUGUUUAAUUUGGUCUCGGCCUUAAACGAAACACAACAAAGCCACCACAGAUCUCUUGGCCGAGAAAUAACAGAAAAAAUCCCCUUUACAAACAGUAGUAGCAGAAUUAGGAGGGGGAAAAAGUCUGCGUGUUCGACAGGGAAAAGGGAGCUCUCCACCUUCUCCUCGGUCUCUCCGUCGCAUUAUCUAUUUAUCAAGUUUGUCUUUUUCAUAUUUCUUUUUACCUGUACAAGUUGAUUGGAGGAGGAAUUUUGGGUGGUUUUCUUCACCGAUCUCUUCUCCAAGAAAUGUCGGCUAUUUCGAAUUUCACGGCGUGCCGGCGUUUCCAAAAUGGAGCUGCAUUAACAAAAGACUCACCUGGGGUUGGUUUGAUUACUAACAAGUUUCUGGCGACCAAGAUUUCUACGCCAUUCCACAAGGUGUCUCUCGUAUGUUCAAAAAGGACGUUUAAAGGUUCAAAUAUAAGAAUGACAAUGUUAGAUGACAAACUUUCCAGCGGGAAGGUUGUUGUGCCAUCUGAAGUGCUGGCAUAUGAGCUCGUUCAAGGAGCAAAAGUAAAAUGGAGUUAUAUUAUGGAGGGAUCGUUGCCUGAACCACCGACUGCUGUUCUCUUGCAUGGUAUUCUUGGCAGCAGGAAAAACUGGGGAAGCUUUGCUAGGAGAUUGGCCCAAGAAUUUCCGAAAUGGCAGUUUCUCCUGGUGGACUUGCGGUGCCAUGGUGAUUCAGCAUCCCUCAAGAAGAGAGGCACACAUACAGUCGCGUCAGCUGCUCUUGAUGUCCUAAAGCUGCUUGGCCAGCUCAGACUGACUCCCCGAGUUGUAGUUGGUCACAGCUUUGGAGGAAAAGUUGCAUUGAGCAUGGUUGAGCAGGUUCCAAAGCCCCUUGCACGGCCUGUUAGAGUCUGGGUUCUAGAUGCCACUCCAGGAGAGGUUCGAGCUGGUGCAGAUGGAGAUGAUCAUCCAGCUGAAUUGAUAUCAUUUCUGAGUAAAUUACCAAAAGAGGAAGGUCUCUUCAAAACGAGAUAUUGUGGAUGCUCUGAUACAAGAAGGUUUUUCCAGGGAUGUAGCACAGUGGGUGGUAACUAACCUUCGUCAAACCAACACUGCUGGUUCAUCUCCUUCACCUUUGUCAUGGGUGUUUGAUCUCAAAGGUAUUGCUGAAAUGUAUCAAUCAUAUGAAGAAACAAAUCUGUGGAAAAUUGUGGAGGAUGUUCCUCGGGGCGUGCAUGUUAACUUUUUGAAAGCAGAAAGAAGUUUGCAUAGAUGGGCUCUUGAGGAUAUUAGAAGAAUCCAUGUUGCUGAGGAACAGGCUGUAGAGGAAGGAGGUGGAGUCGAAAUGCAUGUCCUCGAAGAUGCAGGUCAUUGGGUACAUGCUGAUAACCCAGAUGGGCUAUUCAAGAUCCUUUCAUUUUCCUUCCAAGGAUUUUAGGCCCAAGGAAUUCUGGCAUUGACCCUAUGACCUGAAUAUAGGUUGUGAACCCCUUGCAACCUAUAAGAUUGCAGAAAGAUCCAAUUCUUUUUGUAGUAUAGUGUAUAUCAUCUCAUUCAUUAUGAUUUGCUCGUUCUAGAAUGUGAUGUGCAGAAAUUAGUUUGGUGGGGCUGUUUCACCUUUAAAGCUGAGUACACGAUACAGAAUUGUGCAAAGAACUUAUUUACAAGUUAUGUCCUGAUGGAUCAUUAAACACCAGCUUUACUGGGUAAUGUAAGCUCAUUUAUCUUCUUCAAAUGAAUAUGAUUCUACCAAUUCAUACAUCAA
Solanum lycopersicum (tomato) is the source of this 1771-nucleotide RNA transcript. RefSeq lists it as uncharacterized. The record is from RefSeq and is a predicted model, not a curated record. Lineage: Eukaryota; Viridiplantae; Streptophyta; Magnoliopsida; Solanales; Solanaceae.